GCGCUUGCGCACUGGCUCCGCGUCGGCCGGUCGGUUUGGUCGGUUGUAGUGGCCUCGCCGCCCGGUCCGCUGUCGCAGCGCUCAUCCGCGCCGGGAGCCCUUGGCUGCGUCGCCCGGCAGCCGCGCCUCGCGAGACCGCUGUCUACGGCGCUGACGCCGCCUCUGCCUCUUGACCCCUUGGCCCCGCUGUCCUGAUCCCUGAGGUCGGGGCCUGGUCUGCACUCCAGGAAAGACGAGUGCGCUUAGUGUGCGCUGCACGUGAGCAGUGAAGUUGAUUCCACGCGCUGCGCUGCUCGGCAGCUGUCCCAGAACUGACCACGGACCCCUCCGCGGGUCCUGCUCCUGACAAGGGCCUUCCGGCACUGGGAGUUUUGUGUUAGUGGAAAGGAAGAAUCUAAUAAUACCACCACCUUUACAGUAAAGACGCUGCGAAUUGACGCCUUUUAUAAUAAAGACACUUAUCUUGCCCAAGAGCUGGGGAGCAUUUCCUGAAGACGUAGUCAUGCAGCACGUCAGCAGCUCCCAGAGCAGCCAGCGCCAUGUCCAGUGGCCUGGGGCCUGCCCCGGCGCGGGCGAGGAGCAGCCAGCGUGCUCCCAGCCGUCCCUGCCCCUCACACUGCCAUCCCCCAGCCACCAACUACAGCAGCUGAUGGAUGGGUCAGGGCUCACCCAGAUCGCCCAGGGAGCCCAGGUUCAGCUCCAGCACCCGGGUACGCCCAUCACAGUCCGAGAGCGGAGACCCUCCCAGCCCCACACACAGUCAGGGGGCACCAUCCACCACCUGGGACCCCAGAGCCCUGCAGCCGCGGGUGGGGCCGGCCUGCAGCCCCUGGCCAGCCCAAGCCACAUCACCACGGCUAACUUGCCACCGCAGAUCAGCAGCAUCAUCCAGGGCCAGCUGGUUCAGCAGCAGCAGGUGCUGCAGGGGCCGCCGCUGCCCCGGCCCCUGGGCUUCGAGAGGACGCCCGGCGUGCUGCUCCCCGGGGCUGGGGGCGCAGCGGGGUUUGGGAUGACGUCCCCACCCCCGCCCACCAGCCCUUCCAGGACUGCCGUGCCCCCAGGCCUUUCCAGCCUCCCACUCACGUCUGUGGGGAACACGGGAAUGAAGAAGGUUCCCAAGAAGUUAGAGGAGAUUCCCCCAGCCUCUCCGGAGAUGGCACAGAUGAGGAAGCAGUGCCUGGACUAUCAUCACCAGGAGAUGCAGGCUCUGAAGGAGGUCUUCAAGGAGUAUUUGAUUGAACUGUUUUUCUUGCAACACUUUCAAGGGAACAUGAUGGAUUUCUUAGCUUUCAAGGAGAGACUGUAUGGACCAUUACAAGCAUAUCUUAGGCAGAAUGAUUUGGACAUUGAAGAAGAGGAAGAGGAGCACUUUGAAGUCAUUAAUGAUGAGGUAAAGGUUGUGGCCAGAAAGCACGGGCAGCCUGGGACUCCUGUUGCCAUAGCAACCCAGCUACCGCCGAGGACUUCUGCGGCUUUUCCAGCCCAGCAGCAGCCGCUCCAGGUACUUUCUGAUGGCUCCACAGUGCAGCUCCCCAGACUUUCCUCACUCGGAUUUGAGGACUCGAUGUGCUGAGGCAGGACCCAGAGGGGUCCCAAGAGCCUGUCCUCUUUUGUUCAAAAUACAUCUUGAAACGUCUUUGUGAAGGCUCUUAGUUUUAAUGCAUGGAUGCUGUUAUUUUUCCCUACUGUUACUGAAAUUAAAAAGUGUUUGUCUCUGA
Long non-coding RNA from Homo sapiens (human), 1718 nucleotides. The record is from Ensembl. Lineage: Eukaryota; Metazoa; Chordata; Mammalia; Primates; Hominidae.